UACAGAGGGUGCAAGCGUUGCUCGGAUUUACUGGGCGUAAAGCGUACGCAGACGGCCACGCAGGUCGGGUGUGAAAGCCUCGGGCUUAACCUGGGAACUGCGUUUGAAACUGGGGAGCUGGAGUGUAGAAGAGGGGGGUGGAAUUCCAGGUGUAGCAGUGAAAUGCGUAGAUAUCUGGAGGAACACCGAUGGCGAAGGCAGCCCCCUGGGCUAACACUGACGCUCAUGCACGAAAGCGUGGGGAGCAAACAGG
Molecule: ribosomal RNA, 253 nt
Filed under: uncultured bacterium
Lineage: Bacteria
Description: partial 16S ribosomal RNA
Rfam family: Bacterial small subunit ribosomal RNA
Source: RNAcentral